UUAAGCGACUAAGCGUACACGGUGGAUGCCCUGGCAGUCAGAGGCGAUGAAGGACGUGCUAAUCUGCGAUAAGCGUCGGUAAGGUGAUAUGAACCGUUAUAACCGGCGAUUUCCGAAUGGGGAAACCCAGUGUGAUUCGUCACACUAUCAUUAACUGAAUCCAUAGGUUAAUGAGGCGAACCGGGGGAACUGAAACAUCUAAGUACCCCGAGGAAAAGAAAUCAACCGAGAUUCCCCAGUAGCGGCGAGCGAACGGGGAGAGCCCAGAGCCUGAAUCAGUGUGUGUGUUAGUGGAAGCGUCUGGAAAGGCGCGCGAUACAGGGUGACAGCCCCGUACACAAAAAUGCACAUGCUGUGAGCUCGAUGAGUAGGGCGGGACACGUGGUAUCCUGUCUGAAUAUGGGGGGACCAUCCUCCAAGGCUAAAUACUCCUGACUGACCGAUAGUGAACCAGUACCGUGAGGGAAAGGCGAAAAGAACCCCGGCGAGGGGAGUGAAAAAGAACCUGAAACCGUGUACGUACAAGCAGUGGGAGCCUCUUUAUGGGGUGACUGCGUACCUUUUGUAUAAUGGGUCAGCGACUUAUAUUCUGUAGCAAGGUUAACCGAAUAGGGGAGCCGAAGGGAAACCGAGUCUUAACUGGGCGUUAAGUUGCAGGGUAUAGACCCGAAACCCGGUGAUCUAGCCAUGGGCAGGUUGAAGGUUGGGUAACACUAACUGGAGGACCGAACCGACUAAUGUUGAAAAAUUAGCGGAUGACUUGUGGCUGGGGGUGAAAGGCCAAUCAAACCGGGAGAUAGCUGGUUCUCCCGAAAGCUAUUUAGGUAGCGCCUCGUGAAUUCAUCUCCGGGGUAGAGCACUGUUUCGGCAAGGGGUCAUCCCGACUUACCAACCCGAUGCAAACUGCGAAUACCGGAGAAUGUUAUCACGGGAGACACACGGCGGGUGCUAACGUCCGUCGUGAAGAGGGAAACAACCCAGACCGCCAGCUAAGGUCCCAAAGUCAUGGUUAAGUGGGAAACGAUGUGGGAAGGCCCAGACAGCCAGGAUGUUGGCUUAGAAGCAGCCAUCAUUUAAAGAAAGCGUAAUAGCUCACUGGUCGAGUCGGCCUGCGCGGAAGAUGUAACGGGGCUAAACCAUGCACCGAAGCUGCGGCAGCGACACUAUGUGUUGUUGGGUAGGGGAGCGUUCUGUAAGCCUGCGAAGGUGUACUGUGAGGUAUGCUGGAGGUAUCAGAAGUGCGAAUGCUGACAUAAGUAACGAUAAAGCGGGUGAAAAGCCCGCUCGCCGGAAGACCAAGGGUUCCUGUCCAACGUUAAUCGGGGCAGGGUGAGUCGACCCCUAAGGCGAGGCCGAAAGGCGUAGUCGAUGGGAAACAGGUUAAUAUUCCUGUACUUGGUGUUACUGCGAAGGGGGGACGGAGAAGGCUAUGUUGGCCGGGCGACGGUUGUCCCGGUUUAAGCGUGUAGGCUGGUUUUCCAGGCAAAUCCGGAAAAUCAAGGCUGAGGCGUGAUGACGAGGCACUACGGUGCUGAAGCAACAAAUGCCCUGCUUCCAGGAAAAGCCUCUAAGCAUCAGGUAACAUCAAAUCGUACCCCAAACCGACACAGGUGGUCAGGUAGAGAAUACCAAGGCGCUUGAGAGAACUCGGGUGAAGGAACUAGGCAAAAUGGUGCCGUAACUUCGGGAGAAGGCACGCUGAUAUGUAGGUGAAGUCCCUCGCGGAUGGAGCUGAAAUCAGUCGAAGAUACCAGCUGGCUGCAACUGUUUAUUAAAAACACAGCACUGUGCAAACACGAAAGUGGACGUAUACGGUGUGACGCCUGCCCGGUGCCGGAAGGUUAAUUGAUGGGGUUAGCGGUAACGCGAAGCUCUUGAUCGAAGCCCCGGUAAACGGCGGCCGUAACUAUAACGGUCCUAAGGUAGCGAAAUUCCUUGUCGGGUAAGUUCCGACCUGCACGAAUGGCGUAAUGAUGGCCAGGCUGUCUCCACCCGAGACUCAGUGAAAUUGAACUCGCUGUGAAGAUGCAGUGUACCCGCGGCAAGACGGAAAGACCCCGUGAACCUUUACUAUAGCUUGACACUGAACAUUGAGCCUUGAUGUGUAGGAUAGGUGGGAGGCUUUGAAGUGUGGACGCCAGUCUGCAUGGAGCCGACCUUGAAAUACCACCCUUUAAUGUUUGAUGUUCUAACGUUGGCCCCUAAUCGGGGUUGCGGACAGUGUCUGGUGGGUAGUUUGACUGGGGCGGUCUCCUCCUAAAGAGUAACGGAGGAGCACGAAGGUUGGCUAAUCCUGGUCGGACAUCAGGAGGUUAGUGCAAUGGCAUAAGCCAGCUUGACUGCGAGCGUGACGGCGCGAGCAGGUGCGAAAGCAGGUCAUAGUGAUCCGGUGGUUCUGAAUGGAAGGGCCAUCGCUCAACGGAUAAAAGGUACUCCGGGGAUAACAGGCUGAUACCGCCCAAGAGUUCAUAUCGACGGCGGUGUUUGGCACCUCGAUGUCGGCUCAUCACAUCCGGGGCUGAAGUAGGUCCCAAGGGUAUGGCUGUUCGCCAUUUAAAGUGGUACGCGAGCUGGGUUUAGAACGUCGUGAGACAGUUCGGUCCCUAUCUGCCGUGGGCGCUGGAGAACUGAGGGGGCUGCUCCUAGUACGAGAGGACCGGAGUGGACGCAUCACUGGUGUUCGGGUUGUCAUGCCAAUGGCACUGCCCGGUAGCUAAAUGCGGAAGAGAUAAGUGCUGAAAGCAUCUAAGCACGAAACUUGCCCCGAGAUGAGUUCUCCUGACUCCUGAGAGUCCUGAAGGAACGUUGAAGACGACGACGUUGAUAGGCCGGGUGUGUAAGCGCAGCGAUGCGUUGAGCUAACCGGUACUAAUGAACCGUGAGGCUUAACCU
This 2892-nucleotide ribosomal RNA is filed under the name Escherichia coli. RNAcentral's name for it is "23S ribosomal RNA". It matches the Rfam family "Bacterial large subunit ribosomal RNA". The record is from RNAcentral. Lineage: Bacteria; Pseudomonadati; Pseudomonadota; Gammaproteobacteria; Enterobacterales; Enterobacteriaceae.